RNAcentral lists this transfer RNA (76 nucleotides) under Chloroflexota bacterium. Its description in RNAcentral is "tRNA-Ala". It matches the Rfam family "tRNA". From Rfam's summary of the family: Transfer RNA (tRNA) molecules are approximately 80 nucleotides in length. Their secondary structure includes four short double-helical elements and three loops (D, anti-codon, and T loops). Further hydrogen bonds mediate the characteristic L-shaped molecular structure. tRNAs have two regions of fundamental functional importance: the anti-codon, which is responsible for specific mRNA codon recognition, and the 3' end, to which the tRNAs corresponding amino acid is attached (by aminoacyl-tRNA synthetases). tRNAs cope with the degeneracy of the genetic code in two manners: having more than one tRNA (with a specific anti-codon) for a particular amino acid; and 'wobble' base-pairing, i.e. permitting non-standard base-pairing at the 3rd anti-codon position. Lineage: Bacteria; Bacillati; Chloroflexota. The record is from RNAcentral.
GGGGAUGUAGCUCAGCUGGGAGAGCACCUCAAUGGCAUUGAGGGGGUCACGAGUUCGAUUCUCGUCAUCUCCACCA